RNAcentral lists this long non-coding RNA (1483 nucleotides) under Homo sapiens (human). RNAcentral describes it as "HSALNT0351202". Lineage: Eukaryota; Metazoa; Chordata; Mammalia; Primates; Hominidae. The record is from RNAcentral.
CCCAAAUUCAGUUUUAUUUUCUCAGGCCCCAAACAAAGAACACAGAACCUUAGAGCUAGAAGAGAUCUCACAUAUUAUCUAGUCUUCCUGCUACAGAUAAAGAAAGCAAGGCCCUGAGAAAUUACAUGAACUAUCUUCUAGCUCCCAAUCCUUUUCAGUAUGAACCCCUCUUGACCCCCCUUCUUCCUGUCAAAAUAGAAGAAAGAAGAAAGAAAAAAUUAGUUGUUUUAACUUGGGCAAGUAAUUUUGAUUCUUCGAAUUAUUUUCUCAUCUACGAAAUGUGGGUGUUUGGGUUGAUGGGCAACAUGAAGAGGAGUCUGGGGAAAUUAGAUACAUGGCCUAUGAAUCCUUUUCCAAGUUAUAAAACCUACGAUUAAGGUAUAAUGGAGUCAUUUAAUCUAUCUACCAGGAAGUGGAGGGAUCUGACAGGCUUAUUUCCUUUCUUCCCAAUGCCACCUUACAGCUGUGGUCUUGUGGUAAUAUGGCUGCUACAGUUAGAAACCAAAAUUAGAAACCAAGCAACCACAAGAGGAAAGGCUCUGGAACAAUUCUAGGCCCUGACCCAGCAUUUCCAACCAAAGACACUGCAGGCGUCCACGCUUUGCUGCACAUAUGGUCUCUAGUCUGCAACUCUAUGAACAGUGGGCAAUCUCCACAUACCUCAAAUGCAUACCUAGAAACCUUCAUGCUCACUUAACUGAGACUUUUCAACAAAUCUUAGAGAAAAAGAAAACUAGAUAACCAGUUACUUAACUACGGACUAUAACUCAACUCAUAGCAGAGUAUCAUCAACAGUUCUGCUGCCAUGAUCCAACAUCAGAGAAAUACUCGUUUUUCAUCAGAACCACUGAUAUGAGCUUCUCUGACAUUGAGCUAUGGAUUUUAUUGUUAUUUUAAAGAGAAAUUACUGUCAAGCACAUGAAUUUUAUAACAUCUGUUUUCAUUCUGAAACCCUUUUUCCCAAAGAAGUUUCCUUUUUUUCUCAAAGAAGUAAGAAUUACCAUAGAAGACCCAAGAAUUCUAAAAACUUCACAAACUUAUACAUAAAAAUUAAACAAGUUGUCAAAGUCAUGGAUUUGGGGGUGAAAGGGAGGAGGUUGCAAACUAGUCAUACUGAUGACCUAACCUUAGGAACACCAAAAGAGAAAAGUACCCACUGGAUUCUUCUCUUCCUAUCCAAUUAUAUAAUAACAUAGAGAUAAAUUCCAAGAUUCACUUCAGUUUAGAAUUCUUUCAUGAUGAUUCCCAGGUUGUCUGAGGUAUAAACCAUUAUGUUCAUCCCCCAGAGAGCCACAAGGAAUUAGAAAAAUACAACAGAUCCCUGGAGUCAAGAACUCUUAGCCCUUUACCCACAAAUGACACUCAGCUGGGUCAAUAAUACUUGCUUUCUAAAAAAAUACAGGGAUGUGAUAUUACUCCUUUAUUAAAACAACUUUUUGAGCUGGCCUGUUUAUGUGAUUUUUUUUAAAAAAAACAGUGUGUU